Molecule: non-coding RNA, 528 nt
Organism: Biomphalaria pfeifferi
Lineage: Eukaryota; Metazoa; Mollusca; Gastropoda; Planorbidae
Source: the annotation of a GenBank genome assembly
GCUUAAAUAUUGGGUCCGUGGAACUGCUUUCACUAAUAGGAGAAGGGGCUCCUGAACCAGUAAGAUUUGGGAUGGAGGGACUCACUAGCCUUGGCUUUUAGCCCACCUAGCAGAAGGAAAACUGAAUUGAAACAGACCUGGACAUCAGAGUAUCCGAAUAUUGUAAAUAUUGUUUAUAAAUCUGUGAUUCUUUCCACACUUUCGUAUGGCUCUGAGACCAAUGUGCUCUAUAGAAGCCAUUUAAGAUUCCUCAAACACAAUUCUAUAAAAUGUGUCUUCUCUACAAUGGACAUUCGCUGACAAGACUUACCAAAACAUGUUCUACUGGAAGCGGUAUGGACGGUGGAAAAUCACUAGUGACCAUUGGGUAGCUGCGCAGGGUCAGACACUCAACUUGCAUAUAGGACAACCGCAUGACGAUGUUUUUAGUUCACUUCAAGAAGGACAGCGUAACAAAGAUCUGCCCGGAAGUGCUAUAAUGAUCAACUCAGUCGCCAUUUAGCCCUCACUGGCAUAAAGGAAAAAAGC